RNAcentral lists this unclassified non-coding RNA (745 nucleotides) under Zea mays. RNAcentral describes it as "misc RNA Zm00001eb305970". Lineage: Eukaryota; Viridiplantae; Streptophyta; Magnoliopsida; Poales; Poaceae. The record is from RNAcentral.
CCCUAGGAGCGGAUCGAGGCAUAGCUGUAUGACCAGGCGCAAUUGAGCACCGGCAAUCAGUGAGAAACAGUGGGAGACGAGCUCGCCGAGACAACAGAGAAGUCCGACUCCGAGACGGCGGCGACCGACGCCGGAGAUUUACAGCUUGACGCGGCCGAGCACCACGACGAGCGAUGGUCGAUGAGCCAGUGGCCGUAAAAAUAAACUGGAGCAGGGAGCUCGGGAACGCAGACACAUGGGUACGCGGCGGAACUCGACCGAGUGCGCAGGAACACGGCUGGGAAAUUUCCAAACAGAGGACAGCAGCGCGUGAGGAAGAACUGAGCGCACAGGGGAGCUCGACGGCGAGUUUGGAGACUGGGCAAACAGAAGAAGAAAAGGGAGCAGCGAGGGCACGGCGAGCUGCAGCUGGGCACGACGAGCAGCACAGCAAGGGAAAGGGGCGAGCUGCCGCAGGGAAGCCGCGCGCCGGAAGCUCCACGGCUGGGCAUGGCGGCCAUGGGCAGGGAACUCGUGGAAGAGGGAGCAGCGGCGUGCAGAAGCUCGGCGCGCAGGGGAUCCGAGCUGAAGCUGAGCACGCGCCAUGGGGAACUCGCCGGCAGGGCAGAGAGAGCUGGAGGCGCGGCUUGCUGGGAGAUGGAGAGAAGAAACGAGCUCGGCUGGCUGGGGUUGGGGCUCGGCAAGGGAGCCGCCAUGGGAGCAGGCAAUGGGCGAGCAGGACGCGCCACGGGAGAGCUAGAAGGAG